UACGAAGGGGGCUAGCGUCGCUCGGAAUCACUGGGCGUAAAGGGUGCGUAGGCGGGUCUUUAAGUCAGGGGUGAAAUCCUGGAGCUCAACUCCAGAACUGCCUUUGAUACUGAAGAUCUUGAGUUCGGGAGAGGUGAGUGGAACUGCGAGUGUAGAGGUGAAAUUCGUAGAUAUUCGCAAGAACACCAGUGGCGAAGGCGGCCCACUGGCCCGAUACUGACGCUGAGGCACGAAAGCGUGGGGAGCAAACAGG
Molecule: ribosomal RNA, 253 nt
Filed under: uncultured bacterium
Lineage: Bacteria
Description: partial 16S ribosomal RNA
Rfam family: Bacterial small subunit ribosomal RNA
Source: RNAcentral